Molecule: long non-coding RNA, 305 nt
Organism: Notolabrus celidotus (New Zealand spotty)
Lineage: Eukaryota; Metazoa; Chordata; Actinopteri; Labriformes; Labridae
Exons: 2
Source: RefSeq, a predicted model, not a curated record
CCGGGCUCGGCAACCCCGCUCCAUUAUCUACACACCAAUCAGAAUUUCUGAAAAGUUGCCCAUAAAGAGGCGAGAUAGGAAGCUGUACGGAAAUAACACAGGAAAAUAAACAGAGAAAGGGUCCAGACUGCAGGAAUCUGGCAAUGAGGUAAUACAGUUCUGAAAAGAAAGGUUGAUGUGUUAGCUACUGAGCCGAGCUAACGUUAGCUAUCCACUCGGUUACUUAGCUCGUUGUCUGACACAAAACUACAAAGUGUGAGAAUGCAAAAUGUUCUGUUGUGAAAUAAAUCAACACAUGUCACUCA